RNAcentral lists this long non-coding RNA (470 nucleotides) under Homo sapiens (human). RNAcentral's name for it is "HSALNT0014869". The record is from RNAcentral. Lineage: Eukaryota; Metazoa; Chordata; Mammalia; Primates; Hominidae.
CUCAUGGGAACUGUAGUCUCGGAUUCUCCCCACUGGUGGGUCCCAUCCAACCAGUUGAAAGCUUGACUAGAACAAAAGACUGACCCACUCCGGAGUAAGAGAGACUUCCUUCUGCCUGACUGCUUUGAGACCCGGACAUUGGCUUUUCUCAGCCUUCAGACUCAGAAGUAAACACUGGCUCCAUCUGGGUCUUAGACUCGGCCUUUGGACUGGAACUACACCAUUGGUUCUCAGGCCUUUGAACUUGGACUGGAACUAUAUCAUCAGUUCUCCUGGGUCUCCAGCUUGCCAACUUACCCUGAAGAUCUUGGGGAUCUUGGGAUUUAUUAGCUUCCAUAAUCAAAAAGCCAAUUUUUUAUAAUAAAACUAUCUAUCAAAAUAUCUACCAUUCGUUCUGUUUCCCUGGAGAAUCCUGACUGAUGUAUAUUUACUUAAAAAAAAAAAUUUUCUCACAUAGCCGGAAUAUAACU